GUUUAUGUAGCUUAAACAUUAAAGCAAGGCACUGAAAAUGCCUAGACGAAUUUUAUAAUUCCGUAGACACA
Molecule: transfer RNA, 71 nt
Filed under: Solenodon paradoxus paradoxus
Lineage: Eukaryota; Metazoa; Chordata; Mammalia; Eulipotyphla; Solenodontidae
Also listed under: 1 other name
Description: tRNA-Phe
Rfam family: tRNA
About the family: Transfer RNA (tRNA) molecules are approximately 80 nucleotides in length.
Source: RNAcentral